Molecule: ribosomal RNA, 273 nt
Filed under: uncultured prokaryote
Description: partial 16S ribosomal RNA
Rfam family: Bacterial small subunit ribosomal RNA
Source: RNAcentral
UACGUAGGGGCUAGCGUUAUCCGGAAUUACUGGGCGUAAAGGGUGCGUAGGCGGUCUUUCAAGCCAGAAGUGAAAGGCUACGGCUCAACCGUAGUAAGCUUUUGGAACUGUAAGACUUGAGUGCAGGAGAGGAGAGUGGAAUUCCUAGUGUAGCGGUGAAAUGCGUAGAUAUUAGGAGGAACACCAGUUGCGAAGGCGGCUCUCUGGACUGUAACUGACACUGAGGCACGAAAGCGUGGGGAGCAAACAGGAUUAGAUACCCGCGUAGUCCCU